Long non-coding RNA from Onychostoma macrolepis, 1692 nucleotides. RefSeq lists it as uncharacterized. The record is from RefSeq and is a predicted model, not a curated record. The transcript has 3 exons. Lineage: Eukaryota; Metazoa; Chordata; Actinopteri; Cypriniformes; Cyprinidae.
ACGGUCCGUUGGAUUAUUAGAAAAUACACACCCGAGGUGGUGAUGCAGUCACGACGCGAAGCGGAGUGGCCGUUACACCUCGGGUGUGCAUUAUUUUUCUAAUAAUUCAACGGACCGAAGUCAAUUAUUCUGCUUAUACUACGGUUGCCACACCUCAAGACAUGGACCAGAGGAUAUAUUUCAAGGCAUUCGUCCAGUAUUUCUACUUAAAUCGCUAUUGUGAGGAGGAUUAUUUCUUCCGCAUUUCAUCCAACGCCUCCGUUGCUAAUUCCAAAACGUCAUUUUAAACCUAGUAACGGAGGCUUGAGCCGUUAAUAACAGAUGCAGUUAAUACAGUUAAUAACUAAGUUAUGAGAGAGAGAGAGAGAUUACCUCUGUGCGUCUCUCAAUAGUGUUCAACAGCAAUGUCUCUAGUUAUAGUGAAACUUAGUUCCUUUUGUUCACGAACAGCGCCGUUGUUACCUCGCUUGUGAGAAGUCAUGUAGUUUUUAAGUUGUUUACUGAUAAAAUCGUCAGAGUAGCACUAACAACAUUAGUGCGAUGUAUGCUAGUGUGUGCAAACUGUAACGUAUGUGCGGUCUGUGAGGGAGAGAGAGAGAGUAUGUGCUUUCUGUACAUAAAGCAUAAUUUUGUGGCAAAAACAUUUAUUUAAAAACAUAUCCAUUUGUUUACUAUAUUUAUUUAUUUGGACAGUGUCGUUGUGGGUUUUGGUUAUUUUGCUGUUGUAAGACCUUUGUCAUGUAAUGCCGUCAAGAGCUGCCUGUUCGCAGUGCGUUUCCCUGAAAAUAAUUGCACACCUUAGAACGUUCGUCAGCCAAUCAGAUUCAAGCAUUCAACGGCCCCGUAGUAUAGGCCUAAGCACCUUUAUUUUUAAGAGCGUAGGUAGUCUGAAGUCCAACAUUAUCAAACUGUCAUGUGAGGACACUUGAGAAACACCAGCCGAUGCUUUAAUAUCAAGUGUUAAAAGUCACCAGCUGAAGUAGAUCGGACAAGUUUCUUAUUAUCAAUUUCCACCAUGAAAGUGCGAGCGGCGAUGUUAACGUCUGACCCUUCAUGUGUGAGCGUCUGUCAGAUGUUUGACAUCUCAUUAGCACCACUGGAUAUCAGCGACUGAAUUAACAUCAGGACGUGCCAUUCUAAAUCACAUCUGAGACUCAAGCAGAACACCUGGAGAAAAGGUCAUACAGGCAAUUUUCUGCUGCAGUGAACACGCGGCACGAUGAUCCACUGAAGAGCUGCCGAUGCUGAAGUCUGCUGCUGUCCUCAGAGACACACGGGCGUCUACCUGAUGGCCUGCAGGAAACUCACGCACACUUAUCGCUCGCUGCGGCCCGCACCGACUGCUCUGGGCUCUUUAGAGGAUUCACUCGGUGCUUAGGAAAGACGUUCUCCAGAAGGAAUACCACAGAGAAACACAGUGUUUACUGCUGUGAGACGGCCAGAGUAAGGACUAAGACAAUGCAUCAUGGGAAGUACAGGAACAGCCAAUCAUUCCCACAUGAAAACCACAGACAGACAAACUGAUUGGUUGAGCUGAUUUCAAAAAGAUACUGUAAGAUGGCAAUAAACACACAUGCUAUAUUAAUGUUUCAUACUGCUAUGUUGCUAUGAAUCAUAAAAGCCCUAAAAACCUUAGACUAACUACAACACUAAAUGCUAACUGUUAAUCACCUACUGAUGUUUUUCAUUAUA